UCCGUAAUUGCCCUCUUAGCAGAGGACUGUUG
Molecule: non-coding RNA, 32 nt
Filed under: Mus musculus (house mouse)
Lineage: Eukaryota; Metazoa; Chordata; Mammalia; Rodentia; Muridae
Source: RNAcentral